AUACGGCUGGCAGGAGGCACUGGGGCUAUGGAGGGUGAAGUGGGCCCUGGCUGCAUUUGGGCAGUGGGACGGUGAAGUAGGAUGGGAAGCUGGCAGUUCCCAGAUUAAUGUUCUGACUAGUACAAGAGCAAGAGCAGACCAAGGAUCAAACCAAUGUCAUCUCCAGAUGAUGCCAAAGAUCCUGCAGAGGGGUCCAGUCCAGCUGCUGCCAGUGGCUCUCCAGCUUCUGGUGAUGGCAGGCAGUCACCUGCUGAUGCUGCAGGCACAGUGGAAGACCAGGGCACAGACCAAACCAACACUGCUGAUGUUCCAGUAGAUGAGCAGCCACCCAUCUCAGAUGAGCAUGCAGAUGCUGCAGGCAUAGCUACAGGCAGCGACUCGGCGGAGGUCGGGUCAGCAGACGUGCCCACACCCGCGGAGACCGCCGCCGAUCCGGCAGCGCCGCCGCCAGAUGGGGCGACUAGCGAUUCCGGUUCCACUGCCGACGUACCUGCCGCCCCGUCAGGGGCCGACGCCGCCGCGGAGGCCGGGUCCCAGCAGGAAACGGCGCCGUCGCAGGCGGGGGUGGCUGCUGUGAAGUCGCAAGCAAGUGCAGCCUCUGUAAAGUCGCAGACAAGUGCGGCCAGUACGAAGUCACAGACAAGUGCAAGUGCUGUGAAGUCGAAAACAAGUACAGAUGCUGUGAUGUCAAAGACAAGUGCAGGUGGUGUGAAGUCACAGGCAAGUGCAGAUGCUGUAAAGCCACAGACAGGUACAGAUGCUGUGAAGUCACAGACAGGUGCAGGUGGUGUGAAGUCACAGACAAGUGCAGAUGCUGUGAGGUCAAAGACAAGUGCAGCCACUGUGAAGUCACAGACAAGUGCAGAUGCUGUAAAGCCACAGACAAGUGCAGAUGCUGUGAAGUCACAGACAAGUGCAGGUGGUGUGAAGUCACAGACAAGUGUAGGCAGUGUGAAGUCACAGACAAGUGCAGAUGCUGUGAAAUCGCAGACAAGUGCAGCAACUGUGAAGUCACAGACAAGUGCAGAUGCUGUGAAGCCACAGACAAGUGCAGCUGCCAGGAGGUCACAAACAAGUGCAGUUCCUCUGCCAUCAGGGGAAGGGCCAGUUACUAUCAAGUCAGAACCUGCUGCAAAUGCUGCUACUCAGGUAGAGACAAUUGUAGCUGCUGCAAAGUCAGAACCUGUGCAAUCUGUUGUGAAGUCAGGGACUGCCAAUGUGAACUCAGAGGCAAGUGCGGCUGCCGUGAAGUCAAAGGAAGGUGUAACCACUGCUAAGUCGGGAGAAGUUGCAGUUGCUGUGAAGACAGAGCCUACUGAUAGUAUAAGUACUGCUAAGUCAGGAGAGGGUGCAGUUGCUGUGAAGUCAGAGCCUUCUGAAAGCAUGACCACAGCUACAUCAGGAGAAGGUCCAGCUCCCAUGAAGCCUGAGCCCCUGACUGUGCAGUCUGGGCAAGGUCCACUUGCUGUGAAGUCCGAGCCGGUAGGAGGCGCAGCAGCCGCGGCUCCGGAGACAGCCGCAGAAGCUGUGAAGUCAGACCCCGGCCCCAGCGUGACAUCUGAGGCCGGUGCGGGGGCCGUGGCGCUGGAGCCGCUACAGCCGCAGGAUUCUAAGUACGGCCUGCUCAACCCUGACGGCCUGGCAGCGACGCCGUCCACGUCGCUGGACCGCAGCGCCAGCGAGAUACGCCGGCCGCCGCCGCCGCCUCCGAGUCCAGCUGGAGUUCAGGGCCACUGGGCCGCCCGGGCCGCAGGACCAGCUCUACUGGCAGCAGCAGCUGACCGAGCUGGAGCGUGAACAGGACAGGCUUCCGCCGGAGGAGACCGACCGUCGGCCGGAGCAGAUGGGGUUCCGCAGCCCGGAGGAGUACGCCCGGCGCGCCAGCGAGGCGCCGCUGCCAGGCGCCGCGCCGCCCGCCUUCCCCGUGGACCGGCGCGGAGUGACGUCAUACCCGCUGUACUCGGUGCCAGAGAUCUCGCCCGGCGAUGGUGAUGUCAGUGACAACGGCGUGCUGCUCGCGGAGCUGGUGGAUCGGCUGAGUUCCGACAGUGAGACGCCGCGGGGCCGCUCGUACCCGCUGUACCAGCGGCCCGAUGGCGACCUCUCCUCCCCCGAGUCCAGGUCGCCCC
RNAcentral lists this unclassified non-coding RNA (2129 nucleotides) under Pollicipes pollicipes. RNAcentral's name for it is "nucleolar protein dao-5-like, transcript variant X2". The record is from RNAcentral. Lineage: Eukaryota; Metazoa; Arthropoda; Thecostraca; Pollicipedomorpha; Pollicipedidae.